This 470-nucleotide ribosomal RNA is filed under the name Bacillus sp. Arv-19-1.1. RNAcentral describes it as "bacterial SSU rRNA". It matches the Rfam family "Bacterial small subunit ribosomal RNA", at positions 56 to 509 of the family's 1533-position model. The record is from RNAcentral. Lineage: Bacteria; Bacillati; Bacillota; Bacilli; Caryophanales; Bacillaceae.
UGCAAGUCGAGCGGACAGAAGGGAGCUUGCUCCCGGAUGUUAGCGGCGGACGGGUGAGUAACACGUGGGUAACCUGCCUGUAAGACUGGGAUAACUCCGGGAAACCGGAGCUAAUACCGGAUAGUUCCUUGAACCGCAUGGUUCAAGGAUGAAAGACGGUUUCGGCUGUCACUUACAGAUGGACCCGCGGCGCAUUAGCUAGUUGGUGGGGUAAUGGCUCACCAAGGCGACGAUGCGUAGCCGACCUGAGAGGGUGAUCGGCCACACUGGGACUGAGACACGGCCCAGACUCCUACGGGAGGCAGCAGUAGGGAAUCUUCCGCAAUGGACGAAAGUCUGACGGAGCAACGCCGCGUGAGUGAUGAAGGUUUUCGGAUCGUAAAGCUCUGUUGUUAGGGAAGAACAAGUGCGAGAGUAACUGCUCGCACCUUGACGGUACCUAACCAGAAAGCCACGGCUAACUACGUGCC